This 513-nucleotide long non-coding RNA is filed under the name Salmo trutta (river trout). Its description in RNAcentral is "lncRNA (ENSSTUG00000000507.1)". Lineage: Eukaryota; Metazoa; Chordata; Actinopteri; Salmoniformes; Salmonidae. The record is from RNAcentral.
AUGAGACAGGAGCAGAUACCCAGUGUACAUUCAGACCCUUUGGCUUGUCUGGCCCGUGAACAGAGCCACACUCUUGCUGCUGCGAACAAGCCAUCUUUAUCACACCUUAUGGCUUCUGGACUGAAUGGAGGGCUCCUGGUCCGCAGUGCUCUCUGCCAAACCACCUGCCUGCUGCUGCCCAACAGUGUACUGGGCCCAGCCCCCAUCCACCUGGACCUACUUGAGCAGCUGCUGAGGACAGGCUGCCACCUGGUGGCCGGGAGGAUGACUGUCCUGGAUGAGACCCAGAGAUGUCACAUAGCUGAGACACUGAUGCUACCCUCUGAGAGGGAUGGGAAGAUUUGUGCUCUACCCGAGGGCCCUUGUCUUAUCGUUGUUCUACAGAAAGAUAACGUUGUGACCUGCUUUGACUCCAUGCUUGAAAGGCAUUGCAGCUUCUGUGCUAUCUAUUUGAUGUCCUGUCUCCUGAUAGUCAUCAUGCCAUUGUACCACAGCAAUCUGAGUGAACCUUAA